This 443-nucleotide ribosomal RNA is filed under the name uncultured bacterium. Its description in RNAcentral is "partial 16S ribosomal RNA". It matches the Rfam family "Bacterial small subunit ribosomal RNA", at positions 338 to 795 of the family's 1533-position model. The record is from RNAcentral.
CCUACGGGUGGCAGCAGUGGGGAAUAUUGGGCAAUGGGCGCAAGCCUGACCCAGCAACGCCGCGUGAAGGAAGAAGGCUUUCGGGUUGUAAACUUCUUUUCUCAGGGACGAAGCAAGUGACGGUACCUGAGGAAUAAGUCACGGCGAACUACGUGCCAGCAGCCGCGGUAAUACGUAGGUGGCAAGCGUUAUCCGGAUUUACUGGGUGUAAAGGGAGGGUAGGCGGGACUGUAAGUCAGAUUUUAAAAAAACGGGCUCAACCUGUGGCGGGCAUUUGAAACUGUAGAUCUUGAGUACUGGAGAGGCAGACGGAAUUCCUAGUGUAGCGGUAAAAUGCGUAGAUAUUAGGAGGAACACCAGUGGCGAAGGCGGUCUGCUGGACAGCAACUGACGCUGAGGCGCGAAAGCGUGGGGAGCAAACAGGAUUAGAUACCCGAGUAGUC